RNAcentral lists this ribosomal RNA (517 nucleotides) under uncultured bacterium. Its description in RNAcentral is "bacterial SSU rRNA". It matches the Rfam family "Bacterial small subunit ribosomal RNA", at positions 8 to 518 of the family's 1533-position model. The record is from RNAcentral.
AGAGUUUGAUCAUGGCUCAGGAUGAACGCUAGCUACAGGCUUAACACAUGCAAGUCGAGGGACAGCAUUGGAGUAGCAAUACUUCAGGUGGCGACCGGCGCACGGGUGAGUAACACGUAUCCAACCUGCCGCUUACUCGGGGAUAGCCUUUCGAAAGAAAGAUUAAUACCCGAUGGUAUAAAGAGUUCGCAUGUUCUCUUUACUAAAGAAUUUCGGUGAGCGAUGGGAUGCGUUCCAUUAGAUAGUUGGCGGGUAACGGCCCACCAAGUCUACGAUGGAUAGGGGUUCUGAGAGGAAGGUCCCCCACAUUGGAACUGAGACACGGUCCAAACUCCUACGGGAGGCAGCAGUGAGGAAUAUUGGUCAAUGGACGAGAGUCUGAACCAGCCAAAGUAGCGUGAAGGAUGACUGCCCUAUGGGUUGUAAACUUCUUUUAUAAGGGAAUAAAGUGAGGGACGUGUCCCUUUUUGUAUGUACCUUAUGAAUAAGGAUCGGCUAACUCCGUGCCAGCCGCGGC